ACUGAUCUCUCUGCGAGCAAUCUACCCUAUGGCAAGUUUGAUGAGUGUCAUUCUAUUCAGCUCGCAUAAAUCUACAAAUUUGUAUUCCUCAUGUUGCAGUUUGCCGAGCUUCCUUCUAUAAGAUUUGGUGAACUCAGUCUGAGAUGGGAAAGCGUUCUACACAUCCACAAGAAGAUUAUCCAGAAAUAUCAACCAUGUUGCAGCAUGAGAUGCACAACAGCGGCUCGGCGAACUGUGUCGCGCCUGCGCCCUUUAUUCUAAAAGCUUCAUCCGUCCCAUGUAUUCCGACCUCGGCGGUUGCAUUUCUUUCGUAUCGAUUCCUGCACGAGGAGCUUGAGCAGAGGCUUCUGACCGCGGGCCUUCCUUGGUGUAGACACUGCAGUGUCCAUUAGCUCCGUUCCACCGCGAGCAGGGAGCAGCUACUUCGCAGACAUAACAGAAACACUGCACCCAGAAGACAGACUGGGAAUGGUGGCCUUCAAUUGAGAUGGGGAAGCGUUGUAGUGUGGGUUCUAAGUGUACCUUGCUACAGUAGCUCUCAUGAGCGGUGCAGUUGAAGGGGAAGUUUGCACAGA
Molecule: long non-coding RNA, 575 nt
Organism: Musa acuminata AAA Group (dessert banana)
Lineage: Eukaryota; Viridiplantae; Streptophyta; Magnoliopsida; Zingiberales; Musaceae
Exons: 3
Source: RefSeq, a predicted model, not a curated record